CACGCCCUAAACGAUGAUUACUCGACAUUAGCGAUAUUACUGUUAGUGUCUAAGCGAAAGCAUUAAGUAAUCCACCUGGGAAGUACGACCGCAAGGUUGAAACUCAAAGGAAUUGGCGGGGGUCCGCACAAGUGGUGGAGCAUGUGGUUUAAUUCGAUGAUACGCGAGGAACCUUACCUGGGCUAGAAUGCAUUUUGACCGCAGGUGAAAGCCUGUUUUGUAGCAAUACACAAUUUGUAAGGUGC
Molecule: ribosomal RNA, 245 nt
Filed under: uncultured Lacibacter sp.
Lineage: Bacteria; Pseudomonadati; Bacteroidota; Chitinophagia; Chitinophagales; Chitinophagaceae
Description: partial 16S ribosomal RNA
Rfam family: Bacterial small subunit ribosomal RNA
Source: RNAcentral